Molecule: long non-coding RNA, 80 nt
Organism: Psammomys obesus (fat sand rat)
Lineage: Eukaryota; Metazoa; Chordata; Mammalia; Rodentia; Muridae
Exons: 3
Source: RefSeq, a predicted model, not a curated record
UGUUUCUGUGUCCUGUGAAGGGUCCAGGUGAAGCCUUGAGAUUUAAGAAGAUGAACGGAGUUCACACAGGAACCUAGAAA